UCGGAGAGUUUGAUCCUGGCUCAGGACGAACGCUGGCGGCGUGCCUAAUACAUGCAAGUCGAGCGAAUCGAUGGGAGCUUGCUCCCUGAGAUUAGCGGCGGACGGGUGAGUAACACGUGGGCAACCUGCCUAUAAGACUGGGAUAACUUCGGGAAACCGGAGCUAAUACCGGAUACGUUCUUUUCUCGCAUGAGGGAAGAUGGAAAGACGGUUUACGCUGUCACUUAUAGAUGGGCCCGCGGCGCAUUAGCUAGUUGGUGAGGUAAUGGCUCACCAAGGCGACGAUGCGUAGCC
This 294-nucleotide ribosomal RNA is filed under the name Peribacillus simplex. RNAcentral describes it as "Bacillus simplex partial 16S ribosomal RNA". It matches the Rfam family "Bacterial small subunit ribosomal RNA", at positions 1 to 288 of the family's 1533-position model. The record is from RNAcentral. Lineage: Bacteria; Bacillati; Bacillota; Bacilli; Caryophanales; Bacillaceae.